This 497-nucleotide ribosomal RNA is filed under the name uncultured bacterium. RNAcentral's name for it is "partial 16S ribosomal RNA". It matches the Rfam family "Bacterial small subunit ribosomal RNA", at positions 28 to 507 of the family's 1533-position model. The record is from RNAcentral.
GACGAACGCUGGCGGCGUGCCUAAUACAUGCAAGUUGAGCGCUGAAGGUUGGUACUUGUACCGACUGGAUGAGCAGCGAACGGGUGAGUAACGCGUGGGGAAUCUGCCUUUGAGCGGGGGACAACAUUUGGAAACGAAUGCUAAUACCGCAUAAAAACUUUAAACACAAGUUUUAAGUUUGAAAGAUGCAAUUGCAUCACUCAAAGAUGAUCCCGCGUUGUAUUAGCUAGUUGGUGAGGUAAAGGCUCACCAAGGCGAUGAUACAUAGCCGACCUGAGAGGGUGAUCGGCCACAUUGGGACUGAGACACGGCCCAAACUCCUACGGGAGGCAGCAGUAGGGAAUCUUCGGCAAUGGUCGAAAGUCUGACCGAGCAACGCCGCGUGAGUGAAGAAGGUUUUCGGAUCGUAAAACUCUGUUGGUAGAGAAGAACGUUGGUGAGAGUGGAAAGCUCAUCAAGUGACGGUAACUACCCAGAAAGGGACGGCUAACUACGUG